Molecule: ribosomal RNA, 252 nt
Filed under: uncultured bacterium
Lineage: Bacteria
Description: partial 16S ribosomal RNA
Rfam family: Bacterial small subunit ribosomal RNA
Source: RNAcentral
UACGAAGGGGGCUAGCGUUGCUCGGAAUCACUGGGCGUAAAGGGCGCGUAGGCGGCGCAACAAGUCACUUGUGAAAUCUCCGGGCUUAACCCGGAGCGGCCAAGUGAUACUGUCGUGCUAGAGUGCGGAGAGGCGAGUGGAAUUCCCGGUGUAGCGGUGAAAUGCGCAGAUAUCGGGAGGAACACCAAUUGCGAAGGCAGCUCGCUGGGACGUUACUGACGCUGAGACGCGAAAGCGUGGGGAGCAAACAGG